Molecule: long non-coding RNA, 1163 nt
Organism: Anthonomus grandis grandis
Lineage: Eukaryota; Metazoa; Arthropoda; Insecta; Coleoptera; Curculionidae
Exons: 2
Source: RefSeq, a predicted model, not a curated record
GGAAACAAGACUUAUGGCGGAAUGACUGAUUAUCUUAUUACAGUUCAAAACCAGAUUUAAUGGGGCAUCAGGGUUUCAAUGUCAAGCUAACUGGAGAGCAUGUAAUUUGUGGAUCAAUUUAAUGGAAAACUGUUUUAAUAUUCAGGACUAAAUUUUUUAUUUACAUCCAUCAUCGGAGGGAGUUUAUACCUCACAAGAAAUUACCUUAGACAGGUCAAGAGUCUUGGUAAGACCGCAGUAAAUUAGAACAAGUUCAAAGAACAUUCAUAAACUUUUGCAAUUUUAUAUUUGGGCAACAUCAAUAUCUAAAUAUGUAACAGAAAAGUCUGGAAAAUUAUGGAAUACACAGUCCAUAAGUUUUCUGAAUCAACUUUUAUCUUCUGAGCAAUGUUAUGCAUGCAUUGGAGCAGGAUGUAGGUUAGAUUAUAAUAUUUGUUGUUAUGUGAAUUUUGUAUUUUACAUUUGCCAAGUAUUACAAGUAUUUAGAUUGUUAAUCUCUAUACUAGAUGACUAUUUCAAGUUAUUUUUUCUAGUAGUAAAUAAUCCUUGAGCAAAUAAAUAAUGUUGUCGGGUUUCCCUCAUUUUAUAUUUGUUGACUUAACAGACAUUAGUAUAUAUUUCUAAUAUUAUGUUAAUUCAGAUACAUAUAACUCUCUCUAUUCUAUCAUAAUGAACCUGACAAAAGGACGACCAAUCCUAUGUGAUGUGAUCCAAGCGAGACAGAACAGUGAAAGGAUAUACCAAGGGAGUUUUAACUGCACAAAAAAUUAUGUUGGACAUAUUCAGAUCAUCAGCAAACAUCCAUUUCGAGAGGUCUAAGUGAUAUCAUUGGGAAUAAGCAAGAAUAAAAGUGGCAUAGUGAAUUUGUUGUGACAUUUUAAAUAUAUGCAUUGUGUCAAAGGCAUUGGAGGAGUCAGUAAAGAUAGAAUCCUCUUAGUAGAAACAUAUUAACUCAAAAAAUUAAAACUAAAUAAACGGUAUCAGUAAGAACAUUCACAAUAUUUAAACGUUUAUAUAUUGUGAUUGUUAUGUUCUCGCCAAAAGUACCAAUCAGAUUAAAGACAUUAAUUGAACCUGUAGAUUUAGAGUCUUUAUUUAUAAUAAUUUUAACCUAGAAGAAUUAGUUUUAUAUACAAUUAUUAAUAAAGUAUGGCUAUAAUGAU